This 101-nucleotide small RNA is filed under the name Mytilus galloprovincialis (Mediterranean mussel). Lineage: Eukaryota; Metazoa; Mollusca; Bivalvia; Mytilida; Mytilidae. The record is from RNAcentral.
GAGACAAAAUUGACUUUUGUGAGACAAAAAUGACUUUUGUCAGACAAUAUUGACAAAAUUGAAUUUUGUCUGACAAAAGUCAAUUUUGUCUCACAAAAUUG